Molecule: long non-coding RNA, 1183 nt
Filed under: Zonotrichia albicollis (white-throated sparrow)
Lineage: Eukaryota; Metazoa; Chordata; Aves; Passeriformes; Passerellidae
Description: lncRNA (ENSZALG00000013649.1)
Source: RNAcentral
GGAAGCUUUGAAACCCGCCUGAGGUUCUGCAUUGGCUCUGAAUGAAAGGUGUUGUGCGUCUGAAGUGCCCGGCCCAAGGGCUCUCCAGCAAUGCAAACAGCCAGCACACAAAGCCAUUAAAGCUCGAGUGCCUGGCCAUGAUUGCCUGAAGACAGUUUGCAGCUGAGUCCCGCAGGAACCGGCUUUGUCUGAAAAACCACCCGAGGCAGGUGGGGAAAGUCCAGCCAUCCACGACUUGUCCUGCAGCCAAGAGGGUCCAGGUCAGUGCUGGGGAGCAGGACUGUGCUGCCACAGGGAUCUCCACACUGCAGCCCUUGCCCUGCAGCCAAAGCAGGUGAGGGCAGUGCCCUCUGAAGCAGGAGGACACCUCCAUGUGUGCCACUGUCCUUGGAUGAGGGAGGAUGGCAGGAGAAGAGGGCCAAGGCAUCCCUGGAGAAGUCCUGCAAGCUCCCAGCUUGCCAUUUGUGCCAUCCUGGCAUUUCCCUGCUAUCUCCUGGUGCUGAAGGACAGCUCAAACGCCUCGUUAAUCACCGCUGAUGACGGAGCUGUGGCACUCAGGUCCUGCUGGCUGCUGCUUCCCCAGCCAGGGAUGUUUUGCCGAUGCUGCUCCCUGAAAACUCCAGCUGAAAACUGGGGGAAAACUGCCCCCCUCGGAGCUGUAGUUUGUGGAAGAUGUUCCUACUCUGUUCCAGUCUCUCAUUCCUGCUCAUAGGGCACACAGUGAGUUGUGCCCUUGCAAACCUGCAUCUUUUUACAGUACAUUUUUCCCUUCUCUGUGCUUGUCAAGAUCGAGGGCAGCUCCGUGGUGGGCUGAUCUGCUGCUGCAUUGAUCUGGCAAAGGCUGGGGGUGAAAGCCCCACAGCCUCCAGACGAGGCCAUAGAGCUUUCAGGAUGCAGUUUUUCCGAAUCUGUCCAUCACACAGCAAACAAACACCCCCAGCCUGGAGGCAGCUGGCUCGGGGGUGAGCAUCGAUCGCUGGCUGCUGGGUGAGACCCACCAGAACCCCACCGGUGUCAGGAGGCAGCUCCAGCCCUCCCAGCUCCCAAUCACAGGGCUGGGAAGGAAAGCCAGCCUUCUCAGGAAUCAAUCAUUUGACAUCUGCUGUCAGCCUUCUGACACCCAGCCCCGCCGGUGAGGACCCCAGCAGGAAGCCUGGUGGAUCUCAGCUUGUUUUGGUCUUAA